Molecule: small RNA, 132 nt
Filed under: Salmonella enterica subsp. enterica serovar Oranienburg
Lineage: Bacteria; Pseudomonadati; Pseudomonadota; Gammaproteobacteria; Enterobacterales; Enterobacteriaceae
Also listed under: 5 other names
Description: RtT sRNA
Rfam family: RtT RNA
About the family: This family represents a bacterial cis-regulatory element known as RtT RNA. The exact function of RtT is unknown although it is thought that it may be involved in changing the cellular response in relation to amino acid starvation.
Source: RNAcentral
UAUCUCUCCGUACGGGGAAGGAUGAGAAGCUUCGAAUAAGGUUCGAUUCGAGCGAAAGCGAGAAAGCGUUGCCGCAGGCAACGACCCGAAGGGCGAAGCGCGCAGCGCUGAGUAAUCCUUCCCCCGUCAUCC